ACUUCUUCAUAGUCAGGUCACACCCUGUGCUGGAGUCAGCCUCAGACAGGUCCCAGCAGACAUGAGGGUCCCCACUCAGCUCCUGGGGUUGCUUCUGCUCUGGCUUACAGGUGGCAGGUGUGACAUCCAGAUGACCCAGUCUCCAGCCACCCUGUCAGCAUCUCUGGGAGACAGUGUCACCAUGACAUGCCUGGCAAGUCAGAGCAUUGGUGCUUGGUUAGCAUGGUAUCAGCAGAAGCCUGGGAAUCCUCCUAGGCUCCUGAUCUAUAGCACAAGCACCUUGGCAGAUGGGGUCCCAUCGAGGUUCAGUGGCAGUGGAUCUGGCACACAGUUUUCUCUCAAGAUCAAUGGCCUGCAGCAUGAAGAUAUGGCAACUUAUUACUGUCAGCAAGCUAACAGUUUCCCUCCCACAGUGAUUCACACCAUGACAUAA
Peromyscus leucopus (white-footed mouse) is the source of this 433-nucleotide non-coding RNA. The record is from the annotation of a RefSeq genome assembly. Lineage: Eukaryota; Metazoa; Chordata; Mammalia; Rodentia; Cricetidae.